UACAGAGGGUGCAAGCGUUAAUCGGAGUUACUGGGCGUAAAGGGCGCGUAGGCGGUUAUAUAAGUGAGAUGUGAAAUCCCUGGGCUUAACCUAGGAACUGCAUCUUAUACUGUAUGACUGGAGUACUGUAGAGGGUAGUGGAAUUUCCGGUGUAGCGGUGAAAUGCGUAGAGAUCGGAAGGAACACCAGUGGCGAAGGCGGCUACCUGGACAGAUACUGACGCUGAGGCGCGAGAGCGUGGGGAGCAAACAGG
RNAcentral lists this ribosomal RNA (253 nucleotides) under uncultured bacterium. RNAcentral describes it as "partial 16S ribosomal RNA". It matches the Rfam family "Bacterial small subunit ribosomal RNA", at positions 524 to 776 of the family's 1533-position model. The record is from RNAcentral.